Non-coding RNA from Erinaceus europaeus (western European hedgehog), 386 nucleotides. The record is from the annotation of a RefSeq genome assembly. Lineage: Eukaryota; Metazoa; Chordata; Mammalia; Eulipotyphla; Erinaceidae.
GCUGCACCAUGGCCUGGGCUCUUCUCUCCCUCCUCACCCUGCUCCUCUACUGCACAGGGUCUCUCUCCCAGUAUUCGCUGACUCAGUCACCCUCUAUAAGUGUCUCCCUGGGAGCCUCAGCCAAGCUCUCCUGCACACUGCAGAGCGGCUAUGACAGCUACAAUGCAGAAUGGUACCAUCAGGGCCCAGGGAAGGGCCCCCGGUUUGUAAUGCGUGUUGGACCCAAUGGUCUUGUUGGAAACAAGGGUAAUGGGAUCCCUGAUCGCUUCUCAGUCUCAGGCUCUGGCCUGGAUCGAUACCUGACCAUCCAGAAUGUCCAGGAAGAGGAUGAGGCUGACUACUACUGUGGGAUUAGCUAUGGAACUUGGGACAACUAUACACAGUGA